This 265-nucleotide ribosomal RNA is filed under the name uncultured prokaryote. RNAcentral describes it as "partial 16S ribosomal RNA". It matches the Rfam family "Bacterial small subunit ribosomal RNA", at positions 524 to 784 of the family's 1533-position model. The record is from RNAcentral.
UACGUAGGGUGCGAGCGUUGUCCGGAAUUAUUGGGCGUAAAGAGCUUGUAGGCGGUUUGUCGCGUCUGCUGUGAAAAUCCGGGGGCUCAACCCCGGACUUGCAGUGGGUACGGGGCAGACUAGAGUGUGGUAGGGGAGGACUGGAAUUCCUGGUGUAGCGGUGAAAUGCGCAGAUAUCAGGAGGAACACCGAUGGCGAAGGCAGGUCUCUGGGCCACUACUGACGCUGAGAAGCGAAAGCAUGGGGAGGCGAACAGGAUUAGAUA